Molecule: ribosomal RNA, 406 nt
Filed under: uncultured bacterium
Lineage: Bacteria
Description: partial 16S ribosomal RNA
Rfam family: Bacterial small subunit ribosomal RNA
Source: RNAcentral
AUUGAACGCUGGCGGCAGGCCUAACACAUGCAAGUCGAGCGAGCGGCGGACGGGUGAGUAAGUCCUAGGAAUCUGCCUGGCCGUUGGGGAUAACGUCCGGAAACGGGCGCUAAUACCGCAUACCAUCGGAUGUGCCCAGGUGGGAUUAGCUUGUAGGUUAGGUAACGGCUAACCAAGGCAACGAUCCCUAGCUGGUCUGAGAGGAUGACCAGCCAAACUGGAAUUGAGACACGGUCCAGACUCCUACGGGAGGCAGCAGUGGGGAAUAUUGCACAAUGGGCGCAAGCCUGAUGCAGCCAUGCCGCGUGUAUGAAGAAGGCCUUCGGGUUGUAAAGUACUGUCAGCGGGGAGGCGUUACCCGCAGAAGAAGCACCGGCUAACUCCGUGCCAGCAGCCGCGGUAAUAC